GUCGACAACCACAUUCUUGGCAUAUUUCACAUUCAGGAUCUUCUGGUGGAAUCUCUGGUAUUCCAAAAAUUUUCUCAUGGGCUUCAUGACCUCUGUGACGGAUUGAAUCAUUGGCUGGACACAAAAAUAAGAGAGUCAACUUACCAUAAAGCUCAAUAAUCCCAUAAGUCGUGUUGACUUCAUUUUUUGAUAUACAUUUAUAAACGCCUAAAUCAUUUGGUUCAACGUGUGAUAUGUUCAACAAAAGGUCCAAUAAUGGAUGGCUGUCGGAAAAGCAUCAACAAGGCACUCUAGUACAACAAACGAACCAUUUUCUGCAGCAAUAGCAUCUUUUGGUACUGUAAUUAAUGGCUGAUCUGUUGAUGAAAAUGUUAACAUGUUAAUGUGGUUAACCUUUGAAUUUUGGACAAAUAUGAGUAGACAAGGAUCCACAUGAAUGAUACUCAUGAUACUUACAUGCAACUGUUAUAUCGUAUUGUUUGAAUACUUGCGGAGGAAUGCCGUUAUUAGCAUAACAAACAUAUGUUCCUGAAUGUUCCCGUCUUACUCUGGUUAAAUUCAGUCUACCUCCACACACUUCAACAUCUACAAAGUGAACACAAAAGAGUAAACAUUGUGUGAAUUAAUCAAUUGGUUGAUUACACUUGAGCGUGCAACUUACAUGUAUUAUUUUUCAGCCUAAUUGGUUUACCAUCUUUUUUAUACCAAGAAUAAAUGGGACGAGGUUGACCACUGGCUAUACACUCGAUGACAACAUUAUCACCUUCCCGAACCCGGUAUGAUGGAUGAGACUCUUCAUCAUUCAUUAUUGGUGGAACUGAUUAUAUCAUUAUAAAUGAAUGGAUGGUGAUUACAUUUUUCCGAAUAACCAAUGUUGCCAAUCAUGAUAAAUUAAUGUUAUUAUUAUUUUUGUCAAUACUUACUCAGUAUUUUGGAAGCAUCUGUGAUAUUAUUUCCUGAGACUGUUUUCCAAGCUGAAAUACCUGGUCGUCCUGUAGACAAGAAAGUAACCCAUCUUUAAAUACUUUUCAAGCAUUUACAAACUUUUUGCCUUCUUCUCAUUCGGAGGCUGGCAAAGAUUUACAUGUCUAACCCUGUAUUUCGUGACAGAUUCUAUGAGAAAUGUGCAUUAAUGAUUACAGCUUGGCGUUAACUGAAUCAAUCAAUUUGUCUAAAUAAUGGAUACAUUGACUCAAUUUUUGGUUAAACAGGAGUCAUAUAAAUUUGUUAUCAAGCAAUUACAUAAACAAUGGUUACAAAAUUCAUCUGGAGCAGCUAUAACACAACCAGUCACUUCAUAAAUUGUAAAUUAUUCAUGUAAAUUAUAAACGAUCAAUCAAAUCAAACAUUUAAAGGAUCGAUGAUGAGUGGAUCUCAAUUAUAAAUGCUGUUAAUGAAUAGAUAAAUGCUAUUGAAGCUUACAAAGACUCAACAAGUAUUAUCAAAGCUUUACAAACAUGAUACUUCUGGACGCCAUGUCGAAAUCAACUCCAAAUCAGUAGCAAAAGAUAAUGAAUAAUUCAAUGGAAAAGAUAAGGAAUCAAUCAAUCAUGAAUUUGGAGAAAACAUGGAACAAAGCAAAUAAAUCAGAAAGUCAACUUUAACUUAAACAAAGACUUAAACAAUAUCAAAUCAACAAUAGCAACAUUUGUGAUUUUCAAUCUCAAUUGAAAUUGCGAUUGAAAUGCUGCUGGAUAAAAUUGCUGUAAAUCAAACAAAUUUUGGUUGCAAAUUAACGUCAAAAGCCAUGUUUAACUUACCAGGUUCACCAGGUUUACCAGCAACACCUUUUUUACCUGCAGGUCCUCUAAGUCCUUCAAUACACGAAAUGGAUUUGCAAUGAAAUGAGUUGGAAAGAAGAAACAGAGAAUAUCAUUGCAAAAUGAUUGAUAUUAAUAAUCAUGGAAAUAAUAAUGAUAAAUGAAAUACUGAAUAUUGAUAGCCCAAGGAUAAAAAUGAUAACUCAUCUAACGUAAUGUUUUCCUUCUUUUCUCAUCUACACCUUUAGUUUUCUGGUUACUUGAUACAUACCUGGUGUACCAGGAGGCCCUGGAGCUCCUCUCUCACCCGGAGUACCUGGUAAACCUAUGGAAAUACAAUUGAAAGUUAAAUCAUUAGUCUUGAUUUUACAUGUAAACGGUGUUUUCAAAAUAAUGGACAAAGUGGUUUAUUGAAAAAAAUACAAAACACAAUGUAAACUGUGUUUUGAUUCACCUUUGAUUCAUUCCCUAUUCGAUUUCAUUAUUUAUCCGUGAUUAUCCGAGCUUUUCCUUUCACUUCGAAAAAUAGAGAACAAAUUCAUCCUUAUUUUCAUUCUUUUAUGCUCUUCGAUUAUUUUUGUUUACUUUGUUACUAUUUUUUACACAAAUUUUACAUUAUUUCAAAUUUUUCUCUUAUUUUUCAGGCCUUUGUAUAACUCAUAUUUACAUACAGUUCUGUACACAGUCUCGACUUUUGGUAUUGUUGAUAAAUUACCUUUACAUGGUGAAUAUCAUCAUUUUUAGAUGGAUUUGGUUGUAUUGGAGUUGAACAUAAAAUGGAGAUGUUUCUGGUAACCAAAUCUAUUCUAGUCAAUUUUACUCCGUAUUAGAUCAAUGGAAAUGUAUCUCACCAUUGGUUCCAUUUGUGCCUGGCUGACCUGGAGUACCAGGAAUACCAUCUCGCCCAUCACGACCAUCUUUACCAUCUUCACCAUCUCGUCCUGGA
Molecule: non-coding RNA, 2706 nt
Organism: Tetranychus urticae (two-spotted spider mite)
Lineage: Eukaryota; Metazoa; Arthropoda; Arachnida; Trombidiformes; Tetranychidae
Source: RefSeq, a predicted model, not a curated record